This 148-nucleotide non-coding RNA is filed under the name Gorilla gorilla gorilla (western lowland gorilla). The record is from Rfam by way of RNAcentral. Lineage: Eukaryota; Metazoa; Chordata; Mammalia; Primates; Hominidae.
GCCGGGCGUAGUGGCGGGCGCCUGUAAUCCCAGCUACCUGGGAGGCUGAGGCAGGAGAAUCACUUGAAUCCAGGAGGCGGAGGUUGUAGUGAGCCAAGAUCAUGCCACUGCACUCCAGCCUGGGUGACAGAGAAAGACUCUGUCUCAA